RNAcentral lists this ribosomal RNA (427 nucleotides) under uncultured beta proteobacterium. RNAcentral describes it as "bacterial SSU rRNA". It matches the Rfam family "Bacterial small subunit ribosomal RNA", at positions 355 to 774 of the family's 1533-position model. Lineage: Bacteria; Pseudomonadati; Pseudomonadota; Betaproteobacteria. The record is from RNAcentral.
UGGGGUAUUUUGGACAAUGGGCGAAAGCCUGAUCCAGCCAUGCCGCGUGAGUGAAGAAGGCCUUCGGGUUGUAAAGCUCUUUUAGUCGGAAAGAAAGAGUUGCAAUGAAUAAUUGUGAUUUAUGACGGUACCGACAGAAAAAGCACCGGCUAACUACGUGCCAGCAGCCGCGGUAAUACGUAGGGUGCGAGCGUUAAUCGGAAUUACUGGGCGUAAAGGGUGCGCAGGCGGUCUUGCAAGUCAGAUGUGAAAGCCCCGGGCUUAACCUGGGAAUUGCGUUUGAAACUACAAGGCUAGAGUGCAGCAGAGGGGAGUGGAAUUCCAUGUGUAGCAGUGAAAUGCGUAGAGAUGUGGAAGAACACCGAUGGCGAAGGCAGCUCCCUGGGUUGACACUGACGCUCAUGCACGAAAGCGUGGGGAGCAAACA